Pan troglodytes (chimpanzee) is the source of this 401-nucleotide long non-coding RNA. RefSeq lists it as uncharacterized. The transcript is spliced from 4 exons. Lineage: Eukaryota; Metazoa; Chordata; Mammalia; Primates; Hominidae. The record is from RefSeq and is a predicted model, not a curated record.
GGAUGCUUUUACUCAGGAACAGUAAUGGUGCUGCUACAUUAGACCACACCAGAGACAGAACUGGAAGAGAUAAAUUCCUUUAAAAAAUCAUAAGAAAACUGAGGCUUUAAAAACUGAAGAUAACACGCUGGUUUCCCUUCAGGUUAUCCUAUACAUCUCAGAUGGAGCUGUCAUUUUUUCCCCCUUGACUGCAGAAGUUUUACCUUUUGGUGGGAAUUACUUUAAUGAAAAGCUGCAGAUGGUCAGACCUGGUGGCACACACCUGUAAUCCCAGCACCUUUGUGAGGCCAAGGCGGGUGGAUCGCUUGAGCCCAGGAAUUCAAGACAGGCCUGGGCAACAUAGCAAGACCUUGUCUCUAUAAAAAAAAUAAAAAUUAAAAAUAAAAAUAAAAAAAAGAUCA